UACGACGGGUACGGGUUGUGAGAGCAAGAGCCCGGAGAUGGAUUCUGAGACACGAAUCCAGGCCCUACGGGGUGCAGCAGGCGCGAAAACUUUACAAUGCCGGCAACGGCGAUAAGGGGACCUCGAGUGCCAGGUUACAAAUCUGGCUGUCGUGAUGCCUAAAAAGCAUUGCAUAGCAAGGGCCGGGCAAGACCGGUGCCAGCCGCCGCGGUAACACCGGCGGCUCGAGUGGUAACCGUUAUUAUUGGGUCUAAAGGGUCUGUAGCCGGCCGGAUAAGUCUCUUGAGAAAUCCAGCAGCUCAACUGUUGGGCUUUCAGGAGAUACUGUUCGGCUCGAGGCCGGGAGAGGUGAGAGGUACUUCAGGGGUAGGGGUGAAAUCUUGUAAUCCUUGAAGGACCACCAGUGGCGAAGGCGUCUCACCAGAACGGACCUGACGGCAAGGGACGAAAGCUAGGGGCACGAACCGGAUUAGAUACCCGGGUAGUCCUAGCCGUAAACGAUACUCGCUAGGUGUCGGCCACGGUGCGACCGUUGUCGGUGCCGUAGGGAAGCCGUGAAGCGAGC
Molecule: ribosomal RNA, 565 nt
Filed under: uncultured archaeon
Lineage: Archaea
Description: bacterial SSU rRNA
Rfam family: Archaeal small subunit ribosomal RNA
Source: RNAcentral